Trichechus manatus latirostris (Florida manatee) is the source of this 1093-nucleotide long non-coding RNA. RefSeq lists it as uncharacterized. The transcript has 3 exons. The record is from RefSeq and is a predicted model, not a curated record. Lineage: Eukaryota; Metazoa; Chordata; Mammalia; Sirenia; Trichechidae.
GCAGUGGAUUUGGCCCAUGGGCUGUAGUUUGCUGACGCUUACUCUGGAAUACCACAUACAGAAAACUCUGCACUGUCAAGAAAUAUGAAGUCUGCAUGGUCUCAGAGAACAUCUAGCUCAACUGGCAUAACACAGUUUAUAAAGAAAAUGUUCUACAUUCUACCUUGAGUUCUAGCACAGGGGCUGACCUUUCUGCAGACGGAAGAGGGCAAAACCCAGGAGGACGAGUGAAGUGGAAAGAGAUCUGGGCUGAAGAUUAAGAUUUUAGUCCUGGUUCUACUACGACCCCCUAUACGCAAACUUCCUUUCCUCCCCAAAUCUGUUUCUUCAGCUGUAAAAUGAGAAGAGGACAGGAUUUCUGUGGGUCCUGGGAACUCUAAUGAGCUCUUCCCCUGCCUGGUCUGUCCUUUUGCUUUCUUCAAAUAGCUGCUCCUGUUGCUUCUGUUUCAUUCAGGCUUCCCCUGAUAACCCUAUCCAAGCAGCCCCCUGCCUUCUCCCGUGAGUUAUUCUCUCUUUUGGCAGCCUAUUUAUUUCCUCUAUAAUGCUUACCACAAUUUGUACUUAGCGUGUGUUCGCUUAGCUGCUUAUUGCCUAGCUCCACUACAGUGUAAGCAAGCUUCAUGAAGGCAUGGGAGAGUACCUCUCUUGUGUUCUUAUUGUUUCUCCAGAACGUGUGGGCUCAAACAUUUCUUGAAUGAAAGAACAAUGAAUGCAAAAAUGAGAAGCCCUGCACCUGUGUCUUCUUCAGAAGAUUUUCCUCAAAGGUGCUACACUGUGGACCUGUAAUUCUAGGCACCCUGUGGGAGCCAAGAAUAAAGAAAGACGCUGGCAUAAGAAAUGGUGCAGGUGCCUGGACCCUCAAGCUCCUCUAAAGCUACUUUCAGGAAAAGGAUCUGGUAAGCUCAGGCACACUGGCGAAUGAGAAGAGGCAGUAUAUUUUUCACACCAAACAAUAAACCAAUUUUUGUGACACUUCCUGUAGGACCAGCUACUUAAUUUACAGGGCUCAGUAGAAAAUGAAAAUGUGGUCUCCUUAUUCCAAAAUUAUUACAGUUUUCAAGAUGGUGGCAGCAGAGCAUUAGACCAAGUACAG